Molecule: long non-coding RNA, 1043 nt
Filed under: Anolis carolinensis (green anole)
Lineage: Eukaryota; Metazoa; Chordata; Lepidosauria; Squamata; Anolidae
Description: lncRNA (ENSACAG00000042103.1)
Source: RNAcentral
GGCAACUCGGUGCAGCGAGUUCACGCACCAUUUCGCAGGCAAAGUUGCUCAGAUACGCCGUGAGUUGGACUCUAGCUUAACUGUGGUUUCAGCGGAGGUAACCGAGGCACCUGUCUGUCCGAUUUUGUGGGAUUCUUUCCGGCUUGUUCUUCCUGAUGACGUGGAGGGGAUUCUUGGGUCUGUGAGGGCGACCACUUGCGCUCUGGAUCCUUGUCCCUCUUGGCUGGUUAAGCUGGCCAAAGAUGGGUUGUUGGAGUGGUUUGUGGCUAUAAUAAAUGCCUCUCUGGGUCAGGGGUCAGUUCCAUCCUGUUUUAAGCAAGCUGUGGUAAAGCCGCUACUAAAAAAGACCUCGUUAGACCCAUCUGUUUGUAACAACUACAGACCAAUCUCCAACCUCCCAUUUCUGGGCAAGGUUCUGGAGCGAGUGGUUGCCACGCAGCUCCAGGGGUUUCUCGAUGACACUGAUUUUCUGGAAUGCUCGCAGUCUGGCUUCAGGCCUGGGUACAGCACCGAGACGGCUUUGGUCGCCUUGGUGGAUGACCUCCGCAGGGAACUGGACAGGGGGAGUGUGACCCUGCUGGUUCUCUUGGAGGUCAUCCACCAAGGCGACCAAAGCCGUCUCGGUACUGUGCCCAGGCCUGAAGCCAGACUGCGAGCGGUCCAGAAAAUCAGUGUCAUCGAGAAACUCCUGAAGCUGUGUGGCAACCACCCGCUCUAGAACCUUGCCCAGAAACGGGAGGUUGGAAAUUGGUCUGUAGUUGUUACAUACAGAUGGGUCUAGGGAGGUCUUUUUUAAUAGCGGUUUUACUACCGCCUGCUUAAAGCAGGAUGGAAAUGUCCCCUGACCCAAGGAGGCAUUUAUUAUAGCCACAAACCAAUCCAACAACCUAUCUUUGGCCAGCUUAACCAGCCAAGAAGGACAAGGAUCCAGAGCACAAGUGGUUGCCCUCACAGACUCAAGAAUCCCCUCCACGUCAUCAGGAAGAACAAGCCGGAAAGAAUCCCACAAAAUCGGACAGACAAGUACCUCGGUUACCUCCGCU